AUCGAACUAUGCCUACGCCAAGCUGUGGAUGACUUGGCUGGGGAACCGAUGAAGGUCGUGGUAAGCCGCGAAAGUCCUCGGGGAGACGCAAACAGUCUACGAUCCGAGGGUCACCGAAUGGGUAUCCUGACACAGUCUAAUAAGUUGUGUCAACCAGUAAUGGUGGGGAACGUGGGGAACCGAAACAUCCAAGUACCCACAGGAAAAGAAAACAAUUGUGAUUCCGUUAGUAACGGCGAGUGAAAGCGGAACAGGUCAAACCGAAUUCCCUUUUCGAAAGAUUAGGGUAUAUGUGGUGUUUUUGACUGCGUUCUGGACCGUCAGCGUUAAGUCGAAGACAAUGUGGAACAUUGCGCUAUAGAGGGUAAAAGCCCCGUAGACGUAAGCGCUCGGCCUUGCAGUAUCAAGACUAGCGUGGCUUGGAUUUGUCGCGCAAAUAUGGGAAAACUAUGUCCCAAACCUAAAUAUUCCCCCAGACCGAUAGCGCACUAGUAGCGUGAGCAAAAGUUGAAAAGUAUCCAAAAUAUGGGAGUGAAAAGACCCUGAAACAGCUUGGUAACAGACGUGGAUGGCUCGAAAGCGUAGAUUCUCAGCGAAGGAACUCACCGUGAGGUGUUAGUACGAGUUGAGAGGAGCGGGGUCAUCCGUUCCGUCUAGAAACACGGGCCGAGGAGUUCAGAUUCGUGGCGAGCCUAAACGUAUGUGGUGGCGUAGCGAAAGCGACCUGCACGCAGCACUUAUGUGCCAGGUGCGACGUACGAUAAGUGCGUGAAGUCACGGGUCUGAGACACGAAAGGAGUCGAUCUACCCCUGGUUAAGGUGAAGCGCUUCGAAAGGAGCGUGGAGGCCUGAAGGGUUUCUAAUAUGCAAUUUGUUCCUCUGAACUGGGGGUAGUGGCAAAAGACCAAUCUAGACUCCUGAUAGCUUGUUCCCGCCGAAGUAUAACCACAGUAUAGCGUCACCGGAGGUUGCAUGUGAGGUAGAGCUACGGACGGGUUGUCCCGGGGAGUGAAAUCCUCGCCAAUCCUUCCAACUCCGAACUUGCAUGCGCCGUAGAUGGUGGCAGACGGGCGUGUAUCCGCAAGGGAUAUGGCCGCGAGGGGUUCAACCCAGAGGUUGGUUAAGGGCCCUAAAUCCUGGUUAAAUGUUAAACUGAAUGACGUCCAACGGCUUAGACAAUGAGGCGGUAAGCUUAGAAGCAGCUAUCCGUUAAAAAAAGCGUAACAGCUUACUCAUCGAGUUGUUGGGCUCAGAAAAUGGACGGGGCUAAACCAGGUCCCGAUACCAACCCGAACUUCAAAAGAGUUUUGGGUAGGCGGGCGAUCAGGUUGGGCUGAAGCUGGGGGGUGACUCCCAGUGGACCGGCUUGAUUUGCAGAUCUCGGCGGUAGUAGGAGCAUAGUGAGGUGAGAAUCCUCAUCGCCGAAAGCCCAAGGGUUCCUUGGCACUGUUCGUCAGCCAAGGGUUAGUCGGUCCUAAGGGUGAUCUUAAUACGAAUCACUCGAAAGGGAAACAGGUUCAUAUUCCUGUACCGCGCAUAUAGGUGUGGUGACACAAGCUUUGAGCAGACACUGGUGGGUAGGUGGCCUAGGAGCGUAUCCUAGUUAAAUCCCGAAUUCUGGGGAGAACCGUUAUGGUGAGAACCAGAAGAAUGGAUGAAUAGGCUGGCCAUCGGUUGCUGGCUGCCAUCAAUCCCAACAGUCCAUGAAAAUGCAAGAAGAACGAUUAUGCGCGACCGUACCCAGAACCGUGACAGGUGUGGCUAGCUGAGAAGGCUAAGGCGUGUUAGGAGAAAUCAGGUGAAGGAAUUCGGCAAAUUAGCCCCGUAUCUUGGGUAUAAGGGGUGCCUGGAAAGGUGUAUGCCUUCCCAGGUCGCAGUGACAAGGGGCACCCGACUGUUUAAUAAAUAGUUGGGAGCGGCGAACAAACCUACAAAUGAUCAGUUUUCUUUCAAAGGACUUUAAAUAUUCCAAUAACAUAAGAAUAAUGAAACAUGUAUGAAGCAACAAAACUAGAAAAGCUUGGCUAUCUGGCAGGAUUUCUAUAUGGUGAUGGAACAUGUUAUCAUAAUCCAGCUAAUAGAUCAUACUCUGUAUGGAUAGACCAAAUCGAAAGCAACACAUACUUACUAAAAUAUGCCAGAGGAUACCUAGGGCGGUUUAGUAAAGUACAUGAAUACCAAUACAAAAGUCCAGGUGGACUAAAAACAAGAAUAUUAGUGCAUAACAAAAAUUUGUUUAUACAAUUCAAAAAAUUAAGAGAAGAACCCAUCAAAUUCUUUAAUCGUUUGAGUAAAGAGGAAAAAAUAAACUUUAUUUCAGGAUUAUUAGAUGCUGAUGGGACAAUAACAGAUAGAAUUGUGAUAUACGCAUCAAAUGAAAAUCUGUUGAAGAGAUUUGAGCAAUUCUUGAAAAAUUAUGAAGUUGUUGGUAAUGUCUACAAAUUUGGAAGCAUAUCAGGGCUUCAGAUUUAUAGUAAAAAAAGCAUUAAUGCACUAAUAAAGCAAAAAAUGAUGAGUAUAAAGUUUAAAAAGAAGGUUUUGAAAGAAAAUUGAUCGUUUGGAGGCGCGUUCCCUCUAGUUAAAAAACAUAGCAAACUGCAAGGGUGAAAACCUGUGUACAGUUUGUGAAUCCUGGCCGGUGCUGGUGAUUGAAACCUGGGUACAACCAGGCUAAGACCCAGUAAACGCCGGAGCUAACUAUGAGCUUCUUAAGGUAGGCAAAUGCCUUGUCUGCUAAUUACAGACGUCCAUGAAGGGACCAACGAGGUGCCCACUGUCUCCACCUGAAUCCUACUGAACCCACAGUCCAGCGAACAGUCUGGAAUGCACCAUCGGGAAGAGAAGACCCUGUAGAGCUUUACUGCUGUCAGAGGCUGUUGUAUUGGUGUUCAUACAUAGAAUAGUCAGGAGGCGUCGAUCCUACAUUCUCCGGGAUGUAGGGGAGCCGAAAGUGAAAUACUGACUUUGAGCAUUGGUACGACUCACCUCUUGCGAGGGGGACACCCUCUGCCUGGCAGUUUCACUGGGGCGGUAGCCUCUUGAAAAGAUAUCAAGAGGGCCCAAAGCCAAGCUCAACCGGGACAGAAAUCCGGUGUAGAGUGCAAGGGCAAAAGCUUGGUUGACUGUGAACUGAUAGAGAAGGUUCGCAGAUGUUAACGCAGGGCCUAGCGAUCCUUCGCAUUGCCCAUAGUAGGCGGCGGAGGUGGCGGAAAAGUUACCUCAGGGGUAACUACACUUUGAUGGCACACUAUCAAAGUGGCUAGACAAAAGAAAGGAACUUUUCCUGCAAAGAAUUGCACAAACUUUAUCUUUUCAAGGGCACGAAAAAAUGAAACUGAUUUAAAGAAUAAAGCUAAGGUGGGUCAAAUUUUACCCGAAUGAAUAAUAUACCGCAAAAAAAAGUUAUCGAUUGAGGAUUACUUAAUUACAAGUUUUCGCCUAAUGGUCAAAAAAAAGGAAAACUUGAGCGGAUUAGAUAGAAACGGAUCCAACAUCUGCCUUAACCAUCAAGAAAAAAGACCCUUGGAAAAGAUGAAGAGCCAUUUUGAAAGUGUGAGGUCAAGAGGUUAUUAGAUCGGUAACUUGCCUUAAGCCGAGGCUGACAACUAAUCUAAUAGCCAAAGUCGAAAAAAAAGACUAGUGUAGCCCUGAACAGAGUUGUCGUGGGUAAGAGUUCACAUCGACCUCACGGCUUGCUACCUCGAUGUCGGCUCUUCCUAGCUUGGAGGUGAUUCAGCUUCCAAGAGUGGGGUUGUUCGCCCAUUAAAAGGGAACGUGAGCUGGGUUUAGACCGUUGUGAGACAGGUUGGAUUCUAUCUGAUGGUGCUGGCGGGAGAUUGAGAGUAAAAUUCGAUUAGUACGAGAGGAACAUCUAGUUGGGGCCUCUGGUGUAUCGGUUGUCCUCCAGGGCAUCGCCGAGUAGCUAAGCCCUUGACGAUAAGAGCGGAAAGCAUCUAUGCUCGAAGCGUCUCUCGAAACGAGUCUCCCAUUCUGUACCUCAUGGGGGCUGGUGACAGCAACCACUGGUAUAGACGAGAGCACGGAAAGAAGAUCCGGUAGAUAGAGCAGGGGUGUGCGCGUCGAGCUUCGGCGAGAUGUUUAGCCCACUGCUACUAAUCGCUCAAGCUUAGUUCGAC
RNAcentral lists this ribosomal RNA (4136 nucleotides) under Candidatus Heimdallarchaeum endolithica. RNAcentral describes it as "23S ribosomal RNA". It matches the Rfam family "Archaeal large subunit ribosomal RNA". Lineage: Archaea; Promethearchaeati; Candidatus Heimdallarchaeota; Candidatus Heimdallarchaeia (ex Rinke et al. 2021) (nom. nud.); Candidatus Heimdallarchaeales; Candidatus Heimdallarchaeaceae. The record is from RNAcentral.